RNAcentral lists this ribosomal RNA (445 nucleotides) under uncultured Prevotella sp. RNAcentral's name for it is "bacterial SSU rRNA". It matches the Rfam family "Bacterial small subunit ribosomal RNA", at positions 354 to 794 of the family's 1533-position model. The record is from RNAcentral. Lineage: Bacteria; Pseudomonadati; Bacteroidota; Bacteroidia; Bacteroidales; Prevotellaceae.
UGAGGGAAUAUUGGGUCAAUGGGCGGAAGCCUGAACCAGCCAAGUAGCGUGAGGGAUGACUGCCCUAUGGGUUGUAAACCUCUUUUAUAAGGGAAUAAAAAUACGGGACGUGUCCUGUUUUGCAUGUACCUUAUGAAUAAGGACCGGCUAAUUCCGUGCCAGCAGCCGCGGUAAUACGGAAGGUCCGGGCGUUGUUCGGAAUCAUUGGGCGUAAAGGGCAUGUAGGCGGUCUAUCAAGCCAGGCGUGAAAGCCAGGGGCUCAACCCCUGAACUGCGCUUGGAACUGGCGGACUGGAGUCGCUGAGGGGGAACCGGAAUUCCUGGUGUAGGGGUGAAAUCUGUAGAUAUCAGGAAGAACACCAAUGGCGAAGGCAGGUUUCCAGCAGACGACUGACGCUGAGGUGCGAAGGUGCGGGGAGCAAACAGGAUUAGAUACCCUGGUAGU